Molecule: ribosomal RNA, 510 nt
Filed under: uncultured bacterium
Lineage: Bacteria
Description: partial 16S ribosomal RNA
Rfam family: Bacterial small subunit ribosomal RNA
Source: RNAcentral
GACGAACGCUGGCGGCGUGCUUAACACAUGCAAGUCGAACGAAGAGCGAUGGAAGCUUGCUUCUAUCAAUCUUAGUGGCGAACGGGUGAGUAACGCGUAAUCAACCUGCCCUUCAGAGGGGGACAACAGUUGGAAACGACUGCUAAUACCGCAUACGAUCUAAUCUCGGCAUCGAGGAGAGAUGAAAGGUGGCCUCUACAUGUAAGCUAUCACUGAAGGAGGGGAUUGCGUCUGAUUAGCUAGUUGGAGGGGUAACGGCGCACCAAGGCGAUGAUCAGUAGCCGGUCUGAAAGGAUGAACGGCCACAUUGGGACGGAGACACGGCCCAGACUCCUACGGGAGGCAGCAGUGGGGAAUCUUCCGCAAUGGACGAAAGUCUGACGGUGCAACGCCGCGUGAGUGAUGACGGCCUUCGGGUUGUAUAGCUCUGUUAAUCGGGACGAAAGGCCUUCUUGCGAAUAGUGAGAAGGAUUGACGGUACCGGAAUAGAAAGCCACGGCUAACUACGUG